Molecule: non-coding RNA, 336 nt
Organism: Oryzias latipes (Japanese medaka)
Lineage: Eukaryota; Metazoa; Chordata; Actinopteri; Beloniformes; Adrianichthyidae
Source: RefSeq, a predicted model, not a curated record
UUCUCCUCUCCAGUAUCCAGCGCCAGUUUGUUAUACUCACUCCGGUUCAUCUCCCACUGGUCACGCUGGUUCCCGUGGCAGAGCUCCUCUCCAUGUUCCACGCUGGUCCCGCCGUCCUCGGCGUCCACGCUUCGCCUCAAGUCGCUCCGCCGUCCUUGGCAUCCUGCUCAACCUCAAGUUGAUUCCGCCGUCCUCGGUUCCCCCACGCUACGCUCCUCAGGUUCCACGGUCCGCCGCGCUCCUGGGACGUCAGAUCUUCAUCCAAAGAUUAUUCAAGCUACGCUCACUUGGAGGCUCUGUAAACCCCCAGGAGAAUUAAAACCUCUUUGCAAACUA